AACGAACGCUGGCGGCGCGCCUAAUACAUGCAAGUCGAGCGAACAGAUGAGAAGCUUGCUUCUCUGAUGUUAGCGGCGGACGGGUGAGUAACACGUGGGUAACCUACCUAUAAGACUGGGAUAACUCCGGGAAACCGGGGCUAAUACCGGAUAAUAUUUUGAACCGCAUGGUUCAAUAGUGAAAGACGGUUUCGGCUGUCACUUAUAGAUGGACCCGCGCCGUAUUAGCUAGUUGGUAAGGUAACGGCUUACCAAGGCGACGAUACGUAGCCGACCUGAGAGGGCGAUCGGCCACACUGGAACUGAGACACGGUCCAGACUCCUAUGGGAGGCAGCAGUAGGGAAUCUUCCGCAAUGGGCGAAAGCCUGACGGAGCAACGCCGCGUGAGUGAUGAAGGUCUUCGGAUCGUAAAGCUCUGUUGUUAGGGAAGAACAAAUUUGUUAGUAACUGAACAAGUCUUGACGGUACCUAACCAGAAAGCCACGGCUAACUACGUGCCAGCCGCCGCUGUAA
This 514-nucleotide ribosomal RNA is filed under the name uncultured bacterium. Its description in RNAcentral is "partial 16S ribosomal RNA". It matches the Rfam family "Bacterial small subunit ribosomal RNA", at positions 29 to 523 of the family's 1533-position model. The record is from RNAcentral.